UUCAUAUAUGAUAUAGGUAGGUAAAAAUCCAAAAACUAAAGGCUACAAGACGGAUAACGUAAUGAAGAUAUUAUACAUAGAGAGUGACAUCGUAUUUAUGGUACAACAAAUAUUAGUACCUACUCAGCUGGAAGGACCGCGAAACCAGGCAUUACUAAUUUGAGAAAGGACAGCAUGCAUAUCUACUGAUGAUGUGCCAAGAUUUAGCAACCACAAAACAAUAAAUUGUGACUUAAAUUCAAUGAGAAUUGAAUAAAAAUUCAAGUCGCCAUUCAUGACUUAAAUAAGCAAAUGGCUAUUUAAAUCAAAGGAGAAAGACCCUUAUUUUUGCACCAUCUUAUUCUUGGUUCGUUUUCAACAAGUAUUAUCAAAUACAAGGUGAGCUUCUUUUCUCAGGAUCAAUUUUCUAAUUAUCAAAUAUUUUGUUUGGUCAUCUCAUAUAUGGUAUAGGUAGGUAAAAAUCCCUUUUCUAUAUCUAGCGUGAAAAUGAUACCGGGUCCCCCGCUCUUUUACUUUCAAACCCAGCACUUCAUUAGCUAAUUGGGCAGCAUCAACGAUCUGCAUGUUCUUCAUAAAUGCAAUUUGAUGACCGGAAACCACUUCUCCCACCAUUCUUUUGAAUAUAUUGCUAGUAAUUUUGCUGCAAUUCUAAUAUCACUUUACCAUCAGAGCAACCCCUCUUGUAUGAAUUGUCAUUUUUCUGAAAGUAUUUAGUAUUUCACCCUCUUUGAGCCAUAGACACCUAAAUUUUUGCCUUCAUAACACUUGUUCUGCCUUUGCUAGUUACUGAUUUCUGCAAGUUUAGUGAUCUGGGUUUAUGAUUGAGACUUCCCCUUUUAUGCUUGUUGCGAUGCAAUUCUACCAAAAACAAGCAACACACUUAAGCCCUCACUCUCCAACCUGCAAAUAAUCAAGUCUCUCCCAAUGACUUAAUGAUCAUUCCAUUGCUGCUAGCUCUUCCCUUUCUGAUUAGUGUGUGGGCCAUAGUCUUGUAAAUCUCAGUUGAAAUUUCUCAUGUACUACUUC
RNAcentral lists this long non-coding RNA (1026 nucleotides) under Nicotiana benthamiana. Its description in RNAcentral is "long non-coding RNA (NBEN_LNC041461)". Lineage: Eukaryota; Viridiplantae; Streptophyta; Magnoliopsida; Solanales; Solanaceae. The record is from RNAcentral.